This 92-nucleotide transfer RNA is filed under the name Caudoviricetes sp. Its description in RNAcentral is "tRNA-Arg". It matches the Rfam family "tRNA". From Rfam's summary of the family: Transfer RNA (tRNA) molecules are approximately 80 nucleotides in length. Their secondary structure includes four short double-helical elements and three loops (D, anti-codon, and T loops). Further hydrogen bonds mediate the characteristic L-shaped molecular structure. tRNAs have two regions of fundamental functional importance: the anti-codon, which is responsible for specific mRNA codon recognition, and the 3' end, to which the tRNAs corresponding amino acid is attached (by aminoacyl-tRNA synthetases). tRNAs cope with the degeneracy of the genetic code in two manners: having more than one tRNA (with a specific anti-codon) for a particular amino acid; and 'wobble' base-pairing, i.e. permitting non-standard base-pairing at the 3rd anti-codon position. Lineage: Duplodnaviria; Heunggongvirae; Uroviricota; Caudoviricetes. The record is from RNAcentral.
GCGCCUAUAGUUUAAUUGGAUAAAACAGCAGGCUUCUACCCUGUAUCCCAUCGAAGGGCUAGUUCUAGGUUCGAGUCCUAGUAGGCGUGCCA